GACGAACGCUGGCGGCGUGCCUAAUACAUGCGAGUAGAACGCUGAAGAGAGGAGCUUGCUCUUCUUGGAUGAGUUGCGAACGGGUGAGUAACGCGUAGGUAACCUGCCUUGUAGCGGGGGAUAACUAUUGGAAACGAUAGCUAAUACCGCAUAACAAUGGAUGACACAUGUCAUUUAUUUGAAAGGGGCAAUUGCUCCACUACAAGAUGGACCUGCGUUGUAUUAGCUAGUAGGUGAGGUAAUGGCUCACCUAGGCGACGAUACAUAGCCGACCUGAGAGGGUGAUCGGCCACACUGGGACUGUGACACGGCCCAGACUCCUACGGGAGGCAGCAGUAGGGAAUCUUCGGCAAUGGGGGCAACCCUGACCGAGCAACGCCGCGGGAGUGAAGAAGGUUUUCGGAUCGUAAAGCUCUGUUGUAAGUCAAGAACGGGUGUGAGAGUGGAAAGUUCACACUGUGACGGUAGCUUAACAGAAAGGGACGGCUAACUACGUG
This 497-nucleotide ribosomal RNA is filed under the name uncultured bacterium. RNAcentral's name for it is "partial 16S ribosomal RNA". It matches the Rfam family "Bacterial small subunit ribosomal RNA", at positions 28 to 507 of the family's 1533-position model. The record is from RNAcentral.